This 295-nucleotide long non-coding RNA is filed under the name Carica papaya (papaya). RNAcentral describes it as "long non-coding RNA (CPAP_LNC016673)". The record is from RNAcentral. Lineage: Eukaryota; Viridiplantae; Streptophyta; Magnoliopsida; Brassicales; Caricaceae.
GACUUCCAUCUAUUGAGGGUGAUACGAUUUUCCGACUACCCAUGUGGAAUGACAAAUUCAUUUCAUUUGUAAUAGCAAUUUGCCUCUUGCUAACUAACAACACAUUUACAGCUUGCUAAACCAACAACACAUUUAUGGCUUGCCAAACUAUGACACAAUCUAUGACCACGGUCGUGCCAAGCACAAUGGUCUUAUAUGUUAACUAUGGCCACGACCAUACUUCGCCCAAGAUGACCCGUACAAUCAUAUCGCGUCACCACUUUAAUCAGAGGGUACACUGUCAUCCACUAGGAGC